GAAAGCUGAGCAGUUCACCACCUGUCAAAGAAUCCCACAUUCCCUCAUCUGUAGAUCACUUUCCAAAUGAAGCCCCACCCAACACCAUUAAGCCUUCAAGUAUUGCUCUUCCGCCUUCUAUAUCAUCGUUUCAAAGUCCUGCAAAGAAGUGGAUGCACAGUCCUACAUAUUCACCUUCAAUCUCAAGUAACAGAAAUCUUCGUCAUCAUCAUGCAAGGAAUCAUCAUAGCACUCCUGGACCAUCUUAUUUGAUUCCUCCACCAAGUUACAAUCAAAUAGCUCCAUCAGUCCCUUCGUUCCACUCUUCUUCUCCUUCAUCAAUGAGCUGGGAUUCUCUUGCACCUGCAUUAUCACCAACUGCACCAAAGAGCCAUUUUAGUGUGCACAUCCAUCCUCCUGCAAUGUCUCCAUUGAAUUCUAACUUGAAGAAGAUGAAGGCUCCACAACCAUCACAAAUUUUGUCUCUACCACCUCCACCUCCAAAUGGAGAUUGUGCAUCAGUAACAUGCGCAGAACCACUAACAUAUACUCCUCCUGGGACAUUUUGUGGAUGCGUAUGGCCUAUUCAAGUUAAACUCCGUCUUGGUGUUGCAAUAUACUCAUUCUUCACUUUGGUUACAG
Molecule: unclassified non-coding RNA, 621 nt
Filed under: Hevea brasiliensis (rubber tree)
Lineage: Eukaryota; Viridiplantae; Streptophyta; Magnoliopsida; Malpighiales; Euphorbiaceae
Source: RNAcentral